UGGGGAAUAUUGCACAAUGGGCGCAAGCCUGAUGCAGCCAUGCCGCGUGUGUGAAGAAGGCCUUCGGGUUGUAAAGCACUUUCAGCGGGGAGGAAGGCGAUAAGGUUAAUAAACUUGUCGACUGACGUUACCCGCAGAAGAAGCACCGGCUAACUCCGUGCCAGCAGCCGCGGUAAUACGGAGGGUGCAAGCGUUAAUCGGAAUUACUGGGCGUAAAGCGCACGCAGGCGGUCUGUCAAGUCGGAUGUGAAAUCCCCGGGCUCAACCUGGGAAAUGCAUUCGAAACUGGCAGGCUAGAGUCUUGUAGAGGGGGGUAGAAUUCCAGGUGUAGCGGUGAAAUGCGUAGAGAUCUGGAGGAAUACCGGUGGCGAAGGCGGCCCCCUGGACAAAGGCUGACGCUCAGGUGCGAAAGCGUGGGGAGCAAACAGG
Molecule: ribosomal RNA, 429 nt
Filed under: Chloroflexota bacterium
Lineage: Bacteria; Bacillati; Chloroflexota
Description: Chloroflexi bacterium partial 16S ribosomal RNA
Rfam family: Bacterial small subunit ribosomal RNA
Source: RNAcentral